GAUGAACGCUGGCGGCGUGCCUAAUACAUGCAAGUCGAGCGAACAGAUGAGGAGCUUGCUCCUCUGACGUUAGCGGCGGACGGGUGAGUAACACGUGGAUAACCUACCUAUAAGACUGGGAUAACUUCGGGAAACCGGAGCUAAUACCGGAUAAUAUAUUGAACCGCAUGGUUCAAUAGUGAAAGACGGUUUUGCUGUCACUUAUAGAUGGAUCCGCGCCGCAUUAGCUAGUUGGUAAGGUAACGGCUUACCAAGGCAACGAUGCGUAGCCGACCUGAGAGGGUGAUCGGCCACACUGGAAGUGAGACACGGUCCAGACUCCUACGGGAGGCAGCAGUAGGGAAUCUUACGCAAUGGGCGAAAGCUUGACGGAGCAACGCCGCGUGAGUGAUGAAGGUGUUCGGAUCGUAAAACUCUGUUAUUAGGGAAGAACAAAUGUGUAAGUAACUAUGCACGUCUUGACGGUACCUAAUCAGAAAGCCACGGCUAACUACGUG
RNAcentral lists this ribosomal RNA (497 nucleotides) under uncultured bacterium. RNAcentral describes it as "partial 16S ribosomal RNA". It matches the Rfam family "Bacterial small subunit ribosomal RNA", at positions 28 to 507 of the family's 1533-position model. The record is from RNAcentral.